GUCCAGUGUCACAUAAGCAGUAAGAAAAGGAUUGAAACUUUGAGCUCCGUUCUUUCUUUGAAGAAAGGAAAUUGUGGGAAGGAAAGAAGAAAAGGGAAGAAAUUUAAUUUGCUCCUAACAGCAUGAGCCAGCCAGGUGCCUAAGUGUUUUCUGGCUUGGAGAAAGCCCCCAGACAGCAAAGAGAAGGGUGAGUUCCUGUUGUUUACGGAAGCCUAGGUGAGGACACAUGUCUGUCUCUAAGAGGACAUCACAAGAGCAGGAUAUUCAUAGGAUGCUGGGUCAGUGUCAGGUACUUAGGACACCUUUCCUCGUAACCAGCUCACAUUUCUCACUCUGCUAGGAGGAGUGGGGGAGUUUUUCCAUGACCAUUUUUAAAGCUCUUAGUUUUGGUAUCAUAUCGUGGGGACUCUUUUCCUCUUUCUUUGGAGAUACGAUUUGAGAGGCUUGACUGACAACCCAGGUUUGUGGGUUUGACUCCUCGAUUAGUAGCUUAUUAGUUAUGUAGCUUUGGAUAAGCUAUUUAAUUUCUCUGGAGCUCAGUUUCCUCAUCUGUAAAUUGGUAAUCAUAAUGUCACUUGCCUUAUAAGAUUGUGAGGAUUAAAUGCAAUAGCACAAUGAACUCAGCACCUGGCAUGCCAUUAAUGUUCAAUAAAAGGUAAUUAUUAUUGGUCAUUGCUUAAAGAGGCAGUUCAGUCUAGGAAGAUGGGAGCUGAAGUUUCUGAUUUCUCAGAAGGCUGCCGGUAUCCUUUAUGCUCAGUUGAGAAUGAAAAUACUGUAGGAAUAGCCGGGCCAGAGGAAAGGCAGGCUUCCAUCUGAAUAUUUCCAAUGAACUAGUAAGCUGAAAAGAUGUCUAUUUAUAAGUUGCGACAGACCACAGGAGCUGUUGAAAAGAAAGAUUUCUUUUCCAAAUCUGGAUACUUACACCCCAUAGAAAAGAUAUUUUGGGCCUCCCAUGUUUAUUUCUACGCAUGUCCUUUUUAGGCAUAGGUCUUUCAGAACCAAGAACUGUGCUAGGUAUGAAUGAAAGCGGGGGGGGGGGAGCCUUCCUUCCUAGCACUAUGUACAUAGAGUUUAUCAAAAUAAUCAAAGUCUUCAGAGCAGCUGACCUUCUGGUGGAAAACAGAAAAAGUG
RNAcentral lists this long non-coding RNA (1131 nucleotides) under Marmota monax (woodchuck). Lineage: Eukaryota; Metazoa; Chordata; Mammalia; Rodentia; Sciuridae. The record is from RNAcentral.